RNAcentral lists this unclassified non-coding RNA (477 nucleotides) under Hevea brasiliensis (rubber tree). The record is from RNAcentral. Lineage: Eukaryota; Viridiplantae; Streptophyta; Magnoliopsida; Malpighiales; Euphorbiaceae.
AAUACAAGCAUGUAGAAGGGCCUGUAAGCAUGACAAAGCAUCUUAGUAACAGGUUGACACAGCGAUGUCUAUAUUUUGAGCAACCCAGCCUCACUGUUCAUAACCGUCUUAAUGAAAAUUUAUAUGGAAAUAAAUAAUUGGUGGGCAUAUACUUUUAUGCUAAAAAAUGCAUAAUUUUUCUAUAAGACAACAGAAUGUGAUUGAAAUGCAUCUGAUUCCAUUCAAAAUCACAUAGAUCAUCGUUAAAAACAAUGAUAGUAAAUAGUGGCACAAUGUUACAAAAAUAAAAACCCAUUUUUUCUCUUGUACUUUAUUAGCAUCUAACAUCUAUAAGGAAAUUUUCUUCCCAAUGAAUUUUAAUUGGUCAAAUAACACAUCACAAAGAGUAGCGAUUCAAAUUGCCCAUUACAGGCUACUUUCUUUUUUCUUCCUCAAACUUAAAAACCAAGAUAAAAGAGAGAAAACCUUCACAACAGA